RNAcentral lists this ribosomal RNA (801 nucleotides) under uncultured bacterium. RNAcentral's name for it is "bacterial SSU rRNA". It matches the Rfam family "Bacterial small subunit ribosomal RNA", at positions 8 to 826 of the family's 1533-position model. The record is from RNAcentral.
AGAGUUUGAUCCUGGCUCAGGACGAACGCUGGCGGCGUGCUUAACACAUGCAAGUCGAACGGAAAGGCCCUUCGGGGUACUCGAGUGGCGAACGGGUGAGUAACACGUGGGUGAUCUGCCCUGCACUCUGGGAUAAGCCUGGGAAACUGGGUCUAAUACCGGAUAGGACCGCAUGCUUCAUGGUGUGUGGUGCAAGGCUUUUGCGGUGUGGGAUGAGCCCGCGGCCUAUCAGCUUGUUGGUGGGGUAAUGGCCUACCAAGGCGACGACGGGUAGCCGGCCUGAGAGGGUGACCGGCCACACUGGGACUGAGAUACGGCCCAGACUCCUACGGGAGGCAGCAGUGGGGAAUAUUGCACAAUGGGCGCAAGCCUGAUGCAGCGACGCCGCGUGAGGGAUGACGGCCUUCGGGUUGUAAACCUCUUUCAGUAGGGACGAAGCGAAAGUGACGGUACCUACAGAAGAAGGACCGGCCAACUACGUGCCAGCAGCCGCGGUAAUACGUAGGGUCCGAGCGUUGUCCGGAAUUACUGGGCGUAAAGAGCUCGUAGGUGGUUUGUCGCGUUGUUCGUGAAAACUCACAGCUUAACUGUGGGCGUGCGGGCGAUACGGGCAGACUAGAGUACUGCAGGGGAGACUGGAAUUCCUGGUGUAGCGGUGGAAUGCGCAGAUAUCAGGAGGAACACCGGUGGCGAAGGCGGGUCUCUGGGCAGUAACUGACGCUGAGGAGCGAAAGCGUGGGUAGCGAACAGGAUUAGAUACCCUGGUAGUCCACGCCGUAAACGGUGGGUAAUGGGUGUGGG